RNAcentral lists this transfer RNA (76 nucleotides) under Caulobacter virus Karma. Its description in RNAcentral is "tRNA-Pro". It matches the Rfam family "tRNA". Rfam says of the family: Transfer RNA (tRNA) molecules are approximately 80 nucleotides in length. The record is from RNAcentral. RNAcentral also lists the same sequence under 9 other names. Lineage: Duplodnaviria; Heunggongvirae; Uroviricota; Caudoviricetes; Jeanschmidtviridae.
CGGGGUGUAGCUCAGUCGGUAGAGCGCUCGGUUCGGGACCGAGAGGCCGUGGGUUCGAGUCCCGCCACCCAGACCA